AAAAUAAAGUUUAGGGACCUAUUUGCAAUUAAACCUGAGAUCCAAUUGAAAGAAGUUGAAAGUUUUUAGGGCCACAGUAUAAUGAAUGAAAAGUACAGGGACUGAUCUGUAAAUUCAUUUUCUGGUUCUAGAACAAACUGGCAAUUGGGCCAUUUUUAACUUCUUCUUGGGCCAAGACCACUUGGCCUGAUCGGAAGUCCAAAAUACUGGAAUGGGUUAACCCAUUUUUACCAAAUAAAACCCAACCAAAUUAAUCAACAACUCAAUCCUAAAACCCAACCAAAAGCUUUGAAUUUAAACCUUCCAAAGUCCAACAAGAAACCCAAACAAACAUUGUUAAAUCCACUUCUCAA
RNAcentral lists this long non-coding RNA (353 nucleotides) under Coffea arabica (coffee). RNAcentral's name for it is "long non-coding RNA (CARA_LNC006312)". The record is from RNAcentral. Lineage: Eukaryota; Viridiplantae; Streptophyta; Magnoliopsida; Gentianales; Rubiaceae.